UCCCCGUUACCGAGGCAGUCUAAAUAGAAAAAUUCAACUAUUUACAAGGGUUGCGCUCGUUGAUGGACUUAACCAAACAUCUCACGACACGAGCUGACGACGGCCAUGCAUCACCUGUCACUACGGCCCGAAGGCACACUCUCCUUUCGGAGAACUUAGUAGGAUGUCAAACCUGGGUAAGGUUCUUCGCUUACCAUCGAAUUAAACAACACGCUCCACCGCUUGUGCGGGUCCCCGUCAAUUCCUUUAUGUUUUAAGCUUGCGCUCGUACUCCACAGGCGGGAUGCUUAACGCGUUAGCUUCGCCACGCAUCGGGUCGAUACGUUGCACGGCUAGCAUCCAUCGUUUACGGCGUGGACUAC
RNAcentral lists this unclassified non-coding RNA (362 nucleotides) under uncultured bacterium. RNAcentral's name for it is "contains 16S-23S intergenic spacer region". The record is from RNAcentral.